CUCCGGCUCUCCCCGCGGUCCCCGGCCCCCACUAAGCGGGGGCGGGUGGCAGAGCUUGCCGGGGGCCCCAGAAUUGUCUCCACCUGGCCUUUCCUGGUGCAGCAGGGGAAUCGUGAAGUUGUGCAAGCCGCGUCUCAAGGAGCCUUUUAGACAGAGCUGGCGAGAUGUUACCGUCAGGCAGCCCCAUUAUCAUCCCUUCCCCUGUACUGGCGUGCGUUCGAGCGGUUUGCGGGGUGCCGGGCGCAGAGUAAGCGCUCAGUAACCCUUUGCUGCUGUGCGACUGUUAUUAAUUCAUUACCAGCAUUUUGCAGCUUUCCCCUGUCGUUGGCAAAAGAACGCUGCCCGCGGACUUCUUUGCCCCUUGGAGACGUAGGAGUAUGAAAGUCAUCACGUGCGAGAUAGCCUGGCACAACAAGGAGCCGGUGUACAGCCUGGACUUCCAGCGUGGGGCUGGCGGGAGGACGCACAGACUGGCGUCCACGGGCGUGGACAGCGCCGUCAGGAUCUGGAAGGUAGAAAAAGGACCAGAUGGAAAAGCUAUAGUGGAAUUUUUGUCCAAUCUUGUUCGUCAUACUAAGGCCGUCAAUGUUGUGCGUUUUUCUCCAACUGGGGACAUUUUAGCAUCAGGAGGAGAUGAUGCUGUCAUCCUGCUGUGGAAAGUGAAUGACAACAAGGAACCAGAGCAGAUUGCCUUCCAGGAUGAGGAGGAGGCUCAGAUGAACAAGGAGAACUGGGCUGUCAUAAAAACACUGAGGGGCCACUUAGAAGAUAUAUAUGACAUUUGCUGGGCAACUGAUGGUAAUUUAAUGGCUUCUGCCUCUGUGGAUAACACAGCCAUCAUAUGGGAUGUCAGUAAAGGACAAAAGAUAUCAAUUUUUAACGAACAUAAAAGUUAUGUACAAGGAGUAACCUGGGAUCCUUUGGGUCAAUAUGUUGCUACUCUGAGCUGCGACAGAGUGUUACGUGUGUACAGCAUGCAGAAGAAACGUGUGGCUUUUAAUGUUUCAAAGAUGCUGUCUGGAAUAGGGGCUGAAGGAGAGGCAAGAAGUUACCGGAUGUUUCAUGACGACAGCAUGAAAUCAUUCUUUCGUAGACUCAGUUUUACGCCCGAUGGCUCUUUGCUCCUCACACCAGCUGGAUGUGUGGAAUCUGGUGAAAACGUAACGAAUACAACUUAUGUUUUUUCCAGGAAAAACCUUAAAAGGCCCAUCGCUCACCUUCCAUGUCCUGGGAAAGCGACGCUUGCUGUCCGCUGCUGCCCAGUCUACUUUGAACUGAGGCCGGUGGUGGAAGCAGACAAAUCAUCACAAGAGGUGGGUCCAGAGCUGGUGAGUCUGCCCUACCGCCUGGUGUUUGCUGUGGCUUCCGAGGACUCUCUGCUUCUCUAUGACACCCAGCAGCUUUUCCCUUUUGGUUACGUGUCUAAUAUACAUUACCACACCCUGAGUGACAUUUCAUGGUCCAGUGAUGGGGCCUUCCUGGCCAUUUCUUCCACGGAUGGUUAUUGUUCGUUUGUGACAUUUGAGAAGGAUGAACUGGGAAUUCCUUUGAAAGAGAAGCCACUUUCGAUCAUGAGAACUCCUGAUACAGCAAAGAAAGCUAAGAGUCAGACACAACAAGGUUCUUCGCCAGGACCCAGACCCGUAGAGGGAACUCCCAUCAGCAGAACUCAGGACCCCAGCAGCCCCUGUACAACCUCCCCCCAGGCCGGACAGUCUCCAGCCCCAACAGUGAUCAAGGACAACCCUCCGGCUACUCCUGGAGUCAAAAACUCCUUGCUAGCACCUUCAGAGGAGAAGAACUUGCAGCCCAGUAGUCAAAAUACGAAGGCUCACCCAUCCCGAAGGGUCACUCUGAACACUUUGCAAGCCUGGAGUAAGACAACACCCCGGAGAAUAAACUUAAUGCCCUUAAAGAUAGAUGCACCACCAAAUUCUGCACCAACCAGUGUAAUUUCCACCCCUUGCACAGAAAAAGUUCAAUUAGAGAUGCCUGGAGACCCUCAGGACAGUUCACCCGAGCUGAAACGGCCCAAACUUGAUGGAAACAAAGAAAGCAGCCAAAGAGUGGAGUCUUGAUGGGACCUCAAUUUCCGCUGAGAGGCCUCCAGGUCUGGGAGCCUUGGAGGAGGAAACCAGGAGUCUGCCUCCCUUUCCGAUGGGAAGGUGGUAAACUAGAGAUGAUUUGCAUUAUAGAAAUCCAAAAGGUGAACACAUGUGUACUUGCAGUGUGAGCGUGGGUCCUAGCCACAGUGAAGUUUGAAAUGUCCGAUGGCAUCUGUUUGAUCAGUGGUUCUCAACUCUGGGUGCACGUUGAAAUUGAAGUCUGACUCAGAGCUGACAUACUGUCUGGGUUCCCCUCUGGAGCAUCUGCCUCGUUGGUCUGGGCCAUUGUCUGAACGUCAGGAUUUUAAGGCUCCUCCACCAGUUGUGGUCCAUAGCCAAGACUGAGAAAUAAGAGAAAAAGCUUUUUAUGGUUAUGGUUUGUUCUGCUUAAAUACAUUUCCCCUGAAACCUUUUUCCUGAUUUUCUCUGCCUCAUCACUAACGGAUAUAAACAACCCUUCUUUACCAGUGCUGCCAGAUGAAGACAGCUUGUAGGGUAAUUCCACAUGCCAUGCAGUUGGCGCCCAGUUGAGUUUGCAGUAGUUGGCCCCUGUGCGGGUGGUGGAUCCCCUGUCCUCAGUGCAGCCUUGGCCCUAGGGGAACAGUUGUUUCUUGUGCAGCAAUGAUGGGAGUGACAGGGCAAGAGGCGCGGCAUGCCUGUAGCCUGAAGUGCACAUUUGUCAGAACGGCCAGCUGCCUGUUUGUCAGCCACCCUCCUUCAAUAGAAAUACAGAAUAAGCAAUAAAAGCUGAGGUUAUGUUACCUCCGUGUUACAGUAUGAAACGCCUGCAUAGUUUAUUGGGGAAGCCUAGGCUGAAAGUUAAGUAGUAGUCCCACUUAUAAACGAUCAUUAUAAGAUCAUCCCCACCAUCCUGGGACUGGACUUGGAUGGGUGUUUGUUUGUUUACUUAUUUAUUUUUGAGAGAUGGGGUCUUGUUCCAUAGCCUAAGCUGUGGUGCAAUGGCGUGAGCAUAGCUCACUGCAACCUUGAACUCCCGGGCUCAAACAAUCCUCCUGCCUCAGCCUUCUGAGUAACUGGGACUACAGGUGCCCACCACAACACCUGGCUAAUUGUUAAACAAUAUUUUGUAGAGACAGAGUCUUGCCAUCUUGCCCAGGCAGGUCUCGAAUUCCUGGGCUCAAGUGAUGCCCCCUCUGGGUUGGCUUUCCAGAGUGCUGGGAUUACAGGUGUGAGCCACCAGGCCUGGCCUGUUUGUUUUGAGCAGCGUUUCCAGAUGUCUCCAGAAACUCUGCCUUUGAUUAUAAGUCCCUGCUGCUUGGUGGCUAGAAGAGAAUGAGGCUCAGUGAGACUGGGAUUAACUCACAGGCAUUCCCUGGAGUCUGGGCAUAUGACCACAGCUGGGGCUUUUGAGGACAGCUGGCAAAGGGAACUGGGCAGUGCUGAGGGUGUGGCAGAGGGCAAGGCUCCCUUUCUGGCUGCCGAUGCAUGGUAGGUAAGGAUGAGCAGUGCCUCCUUGGUCUAGAGGGGAUGGCCAGGCCAGCCAUUCUUAGGAGGGGCCCUCAGGACGAGGCCGCCAGCAGGGCAGAUCAGAGGGAUGUGCCACAGGGCAGAAGUCUUGGGCAGCCCUCAGUCAUGCACUUCUGCUGCCCCCUCGUACCCACCUCUGGUGUCUUUGCUGACAGCUGUCACAUCUACACUUGAAUAGUACCCUUGGCCCUUCUCAACAAAGUUAUCCAUGUCCAUUUACACAGUGUAGGGCCGGAGUCCUUGGCCCCAGACUUGCCGAGUGGUGGAGGAUGAGCUGGCCUGUUCCCCUCCCCGAGCCUGGAGUCUCCCAGGUCUCCCAGAGCUCCUCUUUGUGCCAUUUGUCUGUAUUUCAGUCUGCUCCCUCUCACCUGGCUUGGGAGUUGGGUGGGGUGUGAGACAGACUGUGGACUUGGACACACUAAGUUCCUUCACCCUAAGACUCUGUAGUCCUAAAAAGUGGCUUUGCCUCCUUUAGUAGGAAGGGGUGAGGAAAAGGUAGGGUGGCCUUCCAGGCAGAGUAAGAAACUGAAUUGAAAUGGAUGUAAGACAAACCAGAUCACACUCCCCUCCUUUGUAUAUUGAAGCACUAGAUACUUGUGAGCACACACAAAUUCUCUGGCCACUGGGGGUCACUGUCCCACUGAAUCUGCCCUGUUGUUGCCUCUUAGGCCUGAGGGCCCUGUCCCUCAGCCCCCCCUCCUCUGACCAAGCUGUGUCCCUGUCUAGUUUUGGGUUAGUCUUCACCAGUAUGGCCUUAGAGCAGCGGUUCUCAACCUGUGGGUCAAACGACCCUUUCCCAGGGGUAGCCUAAGACUGUCUUGCAUAUCAGAUAUUUACAUUACAAUUCAACAGUAGCAAAAUUAAUUAUGAAGUAGCAAUGAAAAUAAUUUUAUGGUUGGGGGUCACCAUAACAUGAGGAACUGUAUUAAAGGGUCAUGGCAUUAGAUAGGUUGAGAACCACUGCCUUAGAGGCCAGCUCCAGCCCCUGCUGGCCAGUCCUAGAGCAGAGCAUUGUUCAGCGAACAGAGGUGGAAGAGGAUGAUGAGAGUUGGAAGUGAGUGGUCAUCCCUUCUUUGGCUUAUUCAGUCAUUAAUCUAAGAAAUGUUUAUCGCCAGUGCGGGGUCUCACACUUGUAAUCCUAGCACUCUAGGAAGCCGAGGCAGGAGGAUCACUUGGGUUCAGGAGUCAAGACUAGCUACAGACCUGCGGUGCAUCUUACAAGGGUAUGUGUGAAACUUAGGAAAUGUAGAAUGUAAAUGUCUUAACACAAUAACUAAGAAAAUGCCAGGAAGGCUAUGUUAACCAGUGUGAUGAAAAUGUGUCAAAUGGUCUAUAAAACCAGUGUAUGGUGCCCCAUGAUCACAUUAAUGUACACAGCUAUGAUUUAAUAAUAAAAAAAAAAAGACUAGCUAUAGCAAGAGUGGGACCCCUGUCUACUAAAAAUAGAAAAACCAGUCAGGCAUUCUGGCGGACACCUGUAAUCCCAGCUAUUUGGUAGGCUGAGGCAAAGGGAGGAUCACUUGAGCUCGGGAUUUGGGGGCUAUAAUGAGGUGUGAUCACACCUGUCACUAGCCACUGUAUUCCAGCCUGGGCAAUGUAGACGGGCCCUGUCUUUGAAAAAACAAUAAUAAAAAAGGCCUUCUUGACAACUGGAUUCUUUGCCAUUGAGAAGCAGAUGUCAGUAGAACACACUAAACUAGGAAGGGAGUCCCUUUUCAGGGAUGGCGGAAUUUGCACUGCUUGCUAACAAAGGAGCAGCUGCCCAUGGAGUCUGGGCAAGGCACUGAGUGAGGGAUGGGGAGGUGAACGGUUCUCAAGCUGCAGUCACUGCUCCCCACCCCCAACCCCUGCCAGAAGUCCAGGCCAGAGAAGCCGUCAGAGGAGAAACCCCCAAUGAAGAUGUGACCCACUUCCAGGCUGGCAGGGCUGGAUGUGUGGCUCGACAUCUAUAGCUGUGACAGGUGCUGAGGGAGGUCAUCACACACAGCAAAAAGGCAUUUGCAACAGCCAAUACUUAGAAACUAGCAUUAAAAGAGAGUGAGAUUAUAUCCGCCAAGCUGGUGUGAAAUAAAAUACCACGUGACUUAGUUCCCUUGUGCUGCCAUAGUACACCUUUAAGAGUGGCUUAGAACAACAGGAAUUCAUGCUGUCCAUUCCGGAGGCUAGAUGUCCUAAGUCAAGGGUUGGUAGGGCCCGUACCCUCUGAAGGCUGUGGGGAGAAUCCUUGCCCCUGCCAGCUUCUGGUCCCCCCUGGGUUGUGCCCACAUCACGCCAGUCUUGGCCACCAUCUUCACACAGGCUUCUGUCUUCUUCUUUCCCUUCUCUUAUAAGGACCAUUGGUUUUAGGGUCCACCCUAAUCCAGGAUAAUCUCAUCUUGAGAUCCUUAACUAAUUAAAUUUGUAGAGGCCCUAUUUCCACAUUGGGUCGCGUUCUCAGGUUGCAGGUGGGCAUGAAAUUUGUAUGCACAGGAUUCAACCCACCACAUUACUAUGAGAUGGGCCUGUGAGGAAGAUUGACUGGAAAAUGGAAAACAGUCUCACAACCUAUGGCCGCUAAACCCAAAUCAGGAAGAAGCUGUCUUGCUGAAAUGUGGCACAUUCUCCAAACUGUCCCCAGCUGUCUGGGCACGACCCCUCCAAGGUUUCCUUUGGCAUGGUUAGUGCUGGCUGGAGGAGAGGACGUGUGUGCAUGGGCACCCCAGGGGCAGCUGAGAUCAGCCACGUCACCUGCAUUCCCUCCCUGGAUCCUCACAAUAGGUCUCCUGGGUAUGAGGAAACUGAGACACAGGCAAUUUAAGAAACUUGCUUGAGAUCUUAAAAUUAUGGCUAGUAACUGGCAUGGGCCCAGUUGGCUCCAGAGUCUGUGCUACCUGGCCAGAAUCCCAUCUAUACAUGGAGACUAUCGUCACAAAAUUAGCCAGCACUUGGGUUUGCCUGUGUGAAGGAGAAACUCCAGGAGUUCAAGUGAAGCCAGAU
RNA transcript from Nycticebus coucang (slow loris), 6569 nucleotides. It is a transcript of the gene named chromatin assembly factor 1 subunit B, with no coding region annotated. The transcript has 14 exons. Lineage: Eukaryota; Metazoa; Chordata; Mammalia; Primates; Lorisidae. The record is from RefSeq and is a predicted model, not a curated record.